This 733-nucleotide long non-coding RNA is filed under the name Homo sapiens (human). RNAcentral's name for it is "non-protein coding LINC01724:4". The record is from RNAcentral. Lineage: Eukaryota; Metazoa; Chordata; Mammalia; Primates; Hominidae.
GUCAGAAGUGGGGUGCAAAGUAGAGCUUCUGACAACCCCCGGGAGUACUGAGUGAACAAGCAAGGUAUCUGCAGAACCCACUUGUGUCCACCGAUCUCUCAGAGUGCCUGGAGAUCAUGGUUCUGUUUCCAGAGGCCUCUCUCUGCCUGCCCAGAGACUGUACAUCUUCAGAGAUGAGCAAAACUCUGCACUCUGCAAAAUCAGCACCCUCUGUCUAAUCAAAAGUUAACUUGGCCCAGGUUUUAGUUUCUCUGUAAGUUUUGUUGGAAAGUAAUAUAAUAAAUCUUAUUACAAGAUACAGCUGAUUAUGUAUACAUUAUGUCUUUGGAGAAAUUUGCAUUUUAAGAGGAAGGUCAAGGAUGCCUUAAUUACAAACAUUGCAUUUUUGGUUAUUUAAAUAGUAUCUGGGAAAACGGUGAAGAUAUAUAGGAAGUUAAGAAAGAUACCUGUAUCUACCACGUGUGAAAGAUUAUCUCAGUAAAUAGAAUUGGCUACAUAUUCAUCUAUUAUAAUAAUACCAAAAAAGAAGAUAUAUAUCUUCAAAGCGUCACAAUUUUUGUAGUCAGCAAAAUGAAUGGCAAAGAUAAUGAGAGAAUAAAGAUACAAAAAUGAGUAUUUAAAAAUAGAAUUCCAAUGGGAAAACUGUUAAUUUUAAAAAUUAUAUGUAAAGAUGAGGUUGCUGUUAAGCAUUUUACACCAAUAGAGAUAUCAAUUGGAAUAUUUUAUGUGAAGA